GGAUGGAUUAUGGAUGGAAAAACAAUUGAGCUCAAUGAUAGUUUUGCAAUAUUUUGAAAUUAGAUUUUAAAAAUAGGUUUUGAAGUUUUUGAAUUCGAGUGAUUUUUGAGUUUAAAUUUUUAGGAUGUUACAAACCCACCCUACUUAAAAUAAAUAUCAUCCUCGAGAUUUGGUUGGUUCCUAAAUAGAUGGGGAAACUCUUUUCUUAGAGCAUCUUCUCGUUCCCAAGUAGCUUCUGCUUCACUGUGUUGGCUCCAUUGCACACGAC
RNAcentral lists this long non-coding RNA (268 nucleotides) under Setaria viridis. Its description in RNAcentral is "long non-coding RNA (SVIR_LNC006001)". Lineage: Eukaryota; Viridiplantae; Streptophyta; Magnoliopsida; Poales; Poaceae. The record is from RNAcentral.